Molecule: ribosomal RNA, 911 nt
Filed under: uncultured Methanoculleus sp.
Lineage: Archaea; Methanobacteriati; Methanobacteriota; Methanomicrobia; Methanomicrobiales; Methanomicrobiaceae
Description: bacterial SSU rRNA
Rfam family: Archaeal small subunit ribosomal RNA
Source: RNAcentral
UUCCGGUUGAUCCCGCCGGAAGUCACUGCUAUCGGGGUUCGAUUAAGCCAUGCGAGUCGAGAGGGUUCGGCCCUCGGCGUACUGCUCAGUAACACGUGGAUAACCUGCCCUAGGGAAGGGGAUAACCCCGGGAAACUGGGGAUAAUACCCUAUAGGUUACAGAUGCUGGAAUGCUCUGUAACCCAAAGUUCCGGCGCCCUAGGAUGGAUCUGCGGCCGAUUAGGUUGUUGUUGGGGUAAUGGCCCAACAAGCCAGUAAUCGGUACGGGUUGUGGGGGCAAGAGCCCGGAGUUGGAUUCUGAGACACGGAUCCAGGCCCUACGGGGCGCAGCAGGCGCGAAAACUUUACAAUGCGGGCAACCGUGAUAAGGGAACCUCGAGUGCCUGUAAAUGCAGGCUGUUUAGGUGUUUAAAACGCACCUGGAGAAAGGGCCGGGCAAGACCGGUGCCAGCCGCCGCGGUAAUACCGGCGGCUCGAGUGGUGGCCACUUUUAUUGGGCUUAAAGCGUUCGUAGCUGGGUUGUUAAGUCUCUUGGGAAAUCUGGCGGCUUAACCGUCAGGCGUCUAAGGGAUACUGGCAAUCUUGGAACCGGGAGAGGUGAGGGGUACUUCGGGGGUAGGAGUGAAAUCCUGUAAUCCUCGAGGGACCACCUGUGGCGAAGGCGCCUCACCAGAACGGCUUCGACAGUGAGGGACGAAAGCUGGGGGAGCAAACCGGAUUAGAUACCCGGGUAGUCCCCAGCCGUAAACUAUGCGCGUUAGGUGUAUCGGUGACCACGAGUUACCGAGGUGCCGAAGGGAAACCGUGAAACGUGCCGCCUGGGAAGUACGGUCGCAAGGCUGAAACUUAAAGGAAUUGGCGGGGAGCACCACAACGGGUGGAGCCUGCGGUUUAAUGGGAUUCACGCCGGG